ACGCACGCUGGCGGCGUGCUUCACCCAUGCCAGUCGUACGGUAAGGCCCUUUCGGGGGUACACGAGUGGCGAACGGGUGAGUAACACGUGAGUAACCUGCCCACAACUUUGGGAUAACGCUAGGAAACUGGUGCUAAUACUGGAUAUGUGCUCCUGCUGCAUGGUGGGGGCUGGAAAGCUCCGGCGGUUGUGGAUGGACUCGCGGCCUAUCAGCUUGUUGGUGGGGUAGUGGCCUACCAAGGCGGCGACGGGUAGCCGGCCUGAGAGGGUGACCGGCCACAUUGGGACUGAGAUACGGCCCAGACGCCUACGGGAGGCAGCAGGGGGGAAUAUUGCACAAUGGGCGCAAGCCUGAUGCAGCAACGCCGCGUGCGGGAUGACGGCCUUCGGGUUGUAAACCGCUUUCAGCAGGGACGAAGCUUUUUGUGACGGUACCUGCAGAAGAAGCACCGGCUAACUACGUG
This 464-nucleotide ribosomal RNA is filed under the name uncultured bacterium. RNAcentral describes it as "partial 16S ribosomal RNA". It matches the Rfam family "Bacterial small subunit ribosomal RNA", at positions 29 to 507 of the family's 1533-position model. The record is from RNAcentral.